Molecule: long non-coding RNA, 6926 nt
Organism: Equus caballus (horse)
Lineage: Eukaryota; Metazoa; Chordata; Mammalia; Perissodactyla; Equidae
Source: Ensembl
GUGCAAAUGCAAGCAUUGUUGUGAUUGUUAUGCCUUCUGUUUCUUUGAUCCUCAGAAAAGAUAGCGAAGCGGGAGAGGCCUGUGCACUCAUUUUAAAGAGGAGGAAACCAAGUCUCGGAGCUAGCAGCGGGCGCUGGCGCUGGUCCCUUCAGGGCACCUCGCCCACCUCCACCUGUGUCUCUGUUGAUGUCUGUCCCGGUGGAGCCCUGCUGGCUGAUGCACUCAGCCCUGGGCCCUGGCGCUGCUGCAGGCUCCCCCUGCCAGGCAGCCCAACCCUGCCUGCAGGUAAUGAAGAUGGCACCUGACGAAUGUCACUCGUCAUGAGGCAGUGGCUCCCCCUGGACUGCCUCCUGCCCGAGUUCAUGAGAAGCAAUUUACUGUGUGUCAAGUGACCGCAGGAGAUCGAGGAAGGCCCCGCCCCGUGCCACCCUGGGCUUCUGGCGGAGAGGUGGGCUGCCAAGCAGGGUGACUAGCAGCCUUUGAUUACAGCUGGGAAGGAAUGGUGCCCAUGACCCAGCUAAACCGAGAACCCAGACCAGCUCUGCAGAUUCAGAGGGGCCCAGAGCCUUGCUUCCGUCACCCUCGUCGGAAGGGUGUCCUCCCCCAGACGCCUCAGCUCUAAGAGCUGAGCCAGAGCAGGGCCCCCGGCGCCUCCCAAAGCCAGCCCUGCCCUCCACGGAGCCGCCUGCUGUGCCCAGCUCAGGGGUGAGUGGACAGGCCUGGCUGCAGUGCGCUCCGAGUGCAGGCAGGGUGGCAAGGACCACGCCAGGCUCUAGCCCGGGCCCAGAGGUGGCUCGGCCAAGAGGCUGCAUCUUGCAGACAGAAGCUGCCAGCCGUUCACGGGGAUUGCUGGGAUGCUGAGCAUUGCUGGGGUUCACACGAUGGUGGAUUCCAGCAUUAUCGUCUCUGAACUCUCAUGUGGACGGAAAUACUUGCAGCCCUGCUCCUGCCAUCAGAGUCGAAGAGGAGCAGAAGAUGAAGUUGGAGAUAUGGUCCUUCUAUAUGAGUAAGGCUCAUUAUUGUGUCUGGCAGGCCAGAGGCGUGGGCACUGGUUAGUCACAUUCCAGCCUGAGCUUCAUCACAAGUUAGCCACUGACCGCCCACCAUGUGCCAGGCUGGGGACCCAGAGGUGGAGGGGGCACAGCCUCUGCCUUGGAAGAACACUCAGGCUAUGUGGGAGACAGACGUGCAAACUUUCGACAGUAGCACCUUGUGAUCCAAGCUGGACAGAGGGACGGUCAGGGGCUAUAACCUUAACCCUGAAGGGUGGGGAUCAUCCCGGGAGGUGGUGUUACAGCAGCUGGGUCAAGAAGGACGGCAAGGGGCCAGUGAGCCAACGGGGGAUGCGAGAGGAGGUAGGGCUGCCAGGCAGGGGACCUGCCUGGAGAGGGCCCAGGAAGUCAGAGGGGUACAGUGGUUGGCAGAGACCAGAUCACAGAGGGCCGUGGAUGUAUUGCCAAAGUCAGGGAUAGACUCCACCCAGGGGACUAGGGGAGCCCUGCGGGUCAUGGAUGGGGAGGGUCGUCUGACUUGGAUGGAUAACCCAUUUGGGGUGGGAGGUUUGGGGAAGGGGCGGGCGGGGGCAGGGUGCCCAUGGAGGCUAGUGUAGGAAGCCAGACUAAAGGUGAGUGUGGCCCGAACCAGGGUGAUAGUGACCAUGGGAACCAAGAGCAGGUGGCCCAUUGAGACUGGCUCUAGAGAAAGCAUGGAUGGCCUGGGGCAGGGAGAGGAGAGACUGGUUCUAGAGAAAGCAUGGAUGGCCUGGGGGCAGGGAGAGGAGAGACUGGUUCUAGAGAAAGCAUGGAUGGCCUGGGGGCAGGGAGAGGAGAGACUGGUUCUAGAGAAAGCAUGGAUGGCCUGGGGGCAGGGAGAGGAGAGACUGGUUCUAGAGAAAGCAUGGAUGGCCUGGGGGCAGGGAGAGGAGAGACUGGUUCUAGAGAAAGCAUGGAUGGCCUGGGGGCAGGGAGAGGACAAUCAAGGACUCCCAGGUACAAGCCGGGUCAGCAGGGUGGCGGGUGGCGCCAGCAGCUCAGCCCGGGCGAUUUCCCAUGGAGACCUGGAGCCAGAGAACGAGAGGAUGAGGAUGUGAGACAGCACCACUGAGUCUACAUCCCCGAUGGGCCCCUCAGCACGUGUGGGAGGGAAGGAGACAUUGGCGUAGCUGCGGCUCCUUAAAUGCCUCAUGGGUCGCCUUCUUAAAGACCUUGACAGCAAGCAAGUCCAGGAAAGAGGACACCCAGGGUGCACCAGGCGCCAUGCCAGGCACUGUACACAGGAGGCCCAGGAACCUCAGGAGACUCUCAUCAGCCUGUCCAUCGCUGCUGUCGGGCCACAGAGGUUUCGUUGAUGCUCCAGAUGCUUAAUUCACCCGGUGAGCCAGCCAUUCCUGAUGUCCAAUAGAAGUGAGCUACACUCGUUAUUCUCUCUCAGAUGAGGUUUGAAAAAUGUUUUGUUUUCAAAAUGCCUUUGUUUUGAAAAAUGCCUUCAAUUUAAGCUUUGUUUUUGUAAAAUUAGUGAGUAUCUCAUUUGGCAAGUUUGAAACACCCAAAACAAGCAAAAAAUGCUGGUGGAAGGGAAAGGAAAAAAGAGGAGAGAGGGGAAGGCUGGUGGGGCCAUGGGCCUUCAGUUGCUGUUUUCCCUGAGCUCGAUCAGGAAAAACAAAACACCCAGGCCUGGGGCCGCUCUCACAAGCGGCCUCAGACGAGUGUUUACUUCACCUCCUUCCAUUAGCUCUUAAGAGGAGCCAAUAGAAAAGACCUUGAAAAUGGUAAGGAACACCAUGAAAGAGACAUAUUAUUCUGCCUGGAUGGUAAAAUAUGGCCUUGUGAACUACGUGCUAGCUUCCCAUGCUCACUCAAAGAUGAUUUUAAUAUUAAACGUAUUCCUUUCAUUGACUAAGACAUACACUAACUAGGGAGAAAAUGUUUUCCAAAAUUUAAACUUAAAUCUGUUAAUAAGCACAAAUCUUCAUAAAAAAGUCAGAAGUACAUGGAGACUAGCAGCCUAACCUUAGACGGGAAGCCAUCUGUGACUUUAGAACAAGGGUUUUUACUCACUGGAGGGGGCACACUUUUGUGAAAUGCUAAACCAAAUACCACGGAACAUUAUUAUGGCUUCAAAAACUAGUUACAGGCUUCAAUAAGCACACUUUUAUCACAAGAACACACAAUCUAAAGCCAAAAUAGUUCAGUUUAAUACGCCAAAAAUAUGCUCACCCCAUACAUUGUUAGAAAGAGCAGUAGGAAAAAAAAUCUAAAAUUUGCUGCUAAUUCAUUUGACGGCAGCCAACGUCUCCUAUCUUUCUUGGCAAGAGGGCCAUUUUUCUAUGCUGUAUUUUGCACACAGAAAUCUGCAUAGAGUGAUUUGCAUACCAAAAACACGUUUGUAAAAGAAACUACUUGCACAGAAGCCAGGGAGAGAUGGGGUUGCCACUGUUGGCUUCUAUACACACAACGCCCCCAGGCUACUUGCUUUCCUUUUUCAAACAUACUGCAUUUCCCGCAAAGGGUUAUGCACUUUAUGAUGCAUUAAAAAUUAAAGCAAAUAUAUCUUUUAUAUAUCCAAGAGCAACCAUAACAACGAUAACAACACAGGCUAAAUAUUUCCAUGCUAACAGUCUUCAACUUUUUGCUAAGGGGCUGGGAAUAAUAAGUGCUAUAAUAUAUUGAGCUUUUAUUUUAUACCAUGUCUUUUACAUAAAUUAUUGCUAAUUCUCGCCAUCAGUCUUCAAGGCCAGUGCUGUGGCUCCCCGUUUUACAUGAGGAAACUAGGCUUGGGGAGGUGAGGUGGCUCCCCAAAGCCGCGCAGGCCAGCAGCAGCAGCGAAGCCAGGUUUGGAAGUCUGGUCUGACUGCUCUGCCCCUUCCUGCCACCCUGUUCCCCACUGCCUCUCUCUUUCCCCGGUUUUGCCAAAUACCUUUGUUUCAUUUCCAAGGCUGGGUCUACCAGGCUGAGGGGUGGGGGAGUCAUGCUGGCAGAGGUAAUCACUUGGGUUUCCUGGCCUUUUUCUCUGACGAGCCUGGAAGCAGGGCAGCUAGUCUCAAGGCUCAGGGAAGGAGCCCAGGAAAGCAGUGCAGUGACAGACAGGGUGGAUGGGCAGUGGCCUGGGGUGCGGAGGGCACCGGGGGCGGGGAGACAGAUGGGUGGCUGCACAAAGAAGGUACGCGGUAGUUGAGAUGCAAUGGAACCCUCCCACUCGGUGCCCAUGCGCUGUCACCAGUUCAGUGCCAGCCCAGCUGUAUUCUUGGAAACACAGAACGGUUUUGUGUGUACUUAAUUAUAAUGCUACUUACAGACAAUUUGUCAGCAGCAAAUCAGAGGCUUGAUGCACUUCUUAAGAAAAAAAAAUUGGUAGUGGUUCUUUGAAAUGUGUCCAUCUGAUGAAUCCUUUGGAUUCUUCCAGUAUACAGCAUUUGAGAGAAAUCGGCCAUUUCUGGAAUGUCAAUCGGGGGGAAAGUACAAAAUGAAAAGACUGAGGAUGUCUGCAAAAAAAAAGAUUAUCAACAUUUGCUUUCCUUAAGAUGUUUCUUUGUGUAUUUUUUCUCACCUAGUUUCUCUUUUCCAGGGCACGAUAGCAAAAUUUACACCUAAUCCUCUCUCGUUACCCGUGGAUCGCCAGUGCCCGGAGAUUCCUGGCUUUGAGACUUCGUUAUGUAUUAGUCACUGUUAGAAAGCAGUUUUUCUGACACUUUCAGUAAUAAAUCCCUUUGAUAUGAUCUAUGGUAGCUCUGCCUCAUAGCAAGUUCCAGGCUAAAGCAAGUAAUGGAAUAGCAAACUGCUCUGGAGGCAGGCAGACCUGGUUUGAAUCCUGGUUCUGUCACUAUGGUUUUACCUUACUUAAUCUUUCUGACACUCAGUUUCUUCAUCUGUAAAACGGGGAAAAGCAUAUGAGGGCAGAACCUGGUUGCCCAUCCAACAGCCAUUUCCCUCUUCAUCCUUGCUAACAACAGUGACGACAACGAAAAAUCCUGAUUUUGUUCCAGUCCCGAAGUGCGAAAUCCCAGCAGAUGCGCUGCGUUGAUCUAAACCCUGCAUUCCUGUUGUCAGUGACUGGUUUACAGGGUCUACAGGAAAGCGUGUGACCUAAUUCUGGCCAAGGAUGCUGAAGAGGAAACCUGCCAGAAGCUUCCGAGAAAGAUUUUCCUCUCUGAUAAGAGAGACCCUUGAAGAGAAGGCCCAUCUGCCUUCAUCCACUGGCUCCCUGACCCACGCUGUUUGGUGCUGUGGCAGCCGUCUCUUGAACACGAGGGGAACGAUCACUGACACACUAAAGAUGGCAGAGCAGAAGGACCGAAAGAGCCUAGGGCCUUGGGGACAACACUGAUCUAUUGAGCCGACCUUGGUCCACCUAUCUCCAGAUUUCUUGUUAACAACGUCUUUAUGGUUUAACCUAUUGCGUAUUGAGUUUUGUGUUGCUUGCAGUCAAAAACAAUCCUAACUGACACAAAUACCAACCCCACAAGAUGGUUGUAAAUAAAUGAUACAUUGUAUGUAAAGUACUUAACACAAUACCUGGCACAGUAAGUGGUUGCUAUAUAUAUAUAUUAACAACAUUUAUGAGACAUGGGUAAUGAUCUAAAAGAGCAAAAGUUUCAAAACACAACACAGAUAAAUAAGAUGAACGGUACCGAUUUAGCAUGACAAAAAAGCUUUAUAUUCUCGGUAAGGGUGAGAGGAGACACUGAGGUACAAGACUAUGAUUACAGCCUCAAAUCCUCAUAUCUGGGAGUAAGAUGUAACUAUAGGCAGAAUGUGAACGCUAUUGGAGAUGAAAGGACUGUGGUUCUUGGCCAGGUUUCCAUCCAGCCUCUUACAACAGACAAUCACCCUGUCAGCAGCUCCGAUUCAUGUCUGAAGACCAACAAUUACAUGUGAAUUACCAGCCUUGCAAAGGGGCAGAAUUCUUUCAACUCACAGAAUCUCUUUCCAGAAUACCAAAUUUUACUAGUUGUUUUUUUUUAAGAUUGGCACCUGGGCUAACAACUGUUGCCAAUCUUUUUUUUUUUUUUCUGCUUUAUCUCUCCAAAGCCCCCCUGUACACAGUUGUAUGUCUUAGUUGCAGGUCCUUCUAGUUGUGGGAUGUGGGACGCCGCCUCAACGUGGCCUGACGAGUGGUGCCAUGUCCACGCCCAGGAUCCGAACCCUGGGCCGCCACAGCCAAGCGUGCGAACUUAACCACUGGGCCACGGAGCCGGCCCCAUACUAGUAUUUUCUUAAAAAUAUGUUAUUUCUUUAUAGCAGGAAAGAUAGAUAUACUGACAUAUAUUUAAAAUAUAAUACUCAUUGAGGAAUAUGUUGUCCUAGAUAUCACCUACCAUCUCGGAGCACUGUAGCAACUCAGAGGACUAUGUAUACUUUACACAUGAGACACCAGUUUUUGAAACAACCUACUAGAACACAAAGAAAGAAUACAGUAAAAUAACAUGGGAAAAUACCUAGCUAAUAGAGGUCAUGUCAUGUAAUCAAUACUCAAAGUAAACCAGAUUUUUUUCUUCACUCUGUUUUAGCAAAGAGGCAAAUGACAAGAUUUCAAACCAACACUGAGGAUUAGACACACACACUCAUAUCCACUGCUGUCUAGGGUCAGCGCACAUCCACCCCGAAGCCCAGUGCUCUCUCCAGCGACAGUGCCGUGCGACGAGUGUUGAUUGUCAUAACUGGUGGCUCAUGAGGCUUCACAAAUCCCAGAAUUAUUAAUCGUAUUCAGCAUACAAUAAAAGAGAAGUAAUCAGACAUAUGGACAAAAAUCUGUCAAGGAUUGAAAACAAAAGGUGAUUUCUGGUUACCUUGCAGUUCAUUAAAUAAAAUCACCAAUUCCUGAACAUUUUGGUUAACUGAGAUUUUCUUGUACACUGUACACACACCUGCUUUUCUCAAAAUAUAUCUGCUCCUUUUUCUUUCUUACAAUAAAGGGCAAAACUGUUGGUG